UUUAUAGAGAGUUUGAUCCUGGCUCAGGACGAACGCUGGCGGCGUGCUUAACACAUGCAAGUCGAACGAGUAUCUGCGGAACGAGGUUUCGUCCAAGUGAAGCGGAGGACAGUGGCGGACGGGUGAGUAACGCGUGAGGAACCUGCCUUUCAGAGGGGGACAACAGUUGGAAACGACUGCUAAUACCGCAUGACACAUAGAUGUCGCAUGGCAUUUAUGUCAAAGAUUUAUCGCUGAAAGAUGGCCUCGCGUCUGAUUAGCUAGUUGGUGAGGUAACGGCCCACCAAGGCGACGAUCAGUAGCCGGACUGAG
RNAcentral lists this ribosomal RNA (312 nucleotides) under Bacillota bacterium. RNAcentral's name for it is "bacterial SSU rRNA". It matches the Rfam family "Bacterial small subunit ribosomal RNA", at positions 1 to 296 of the family's 1533-position model. The record is from RNAcentral. Lineage: Bacteria; Bacillati; Bacillota.